RNA transcript from Oreochromis niloticus (Nile tilapia), 2104 nucleotides. It is a transcript of the gene named regulator of G-protein signaling 21, with no coding region annotated. The record is from RefSeq and is a predicted model, not a curated record. The transcript has 4 exons. NCBI's taxonomy places the organism in Eukaryota, Metazoa, Chordata, Actinopteri, Cichliformes, Cichlidae.
CUCAGUUUAAAUGAUUCAAAUUUCUAAAUGUCUAUAAACGCUAGCUUGAGAAACACAUCUGUGGAAAGCAACAAAAUGUGGGCUUUUGGUGCCAAAGUCCUGUGGCUUCGCUUCUGUUUUAGAGCGCGGUUAAAAACUGACGAGUGAAAAGUGACAUUUCUGUCAACCCUGGGAACGCCUGUAGCGCAGCUCAACAUGCACAGACUUGUACCUGUAAAGUAAGUCAGAGGAAGAAAGAGAAGCCCAACAAGGAGGACACUUAUCUCCACAACGGCAGAAAAAUACUUUUCGGCAACAGAAAACACAUGUUGGCUCCUGUUAAUGAUGUCAUGGCGUGGGGGGAGUCAUUUGACCGUCUUCUGGAGUGUAAAACUGGCCAGCUGGUGUUUGAGGACUUCUUGAGGACAGAGUACAGUGAUGAGAACCUUCUUUUCUGGCUGGCCUGCGAAAAGUACAAGAAACUAACCAAAGUGACAGAAACGACCAUUGCUGCCAAACGGAUAUACACUGAGUUUGUCCAAGCUGGUGCACCUAGACAGGUAUGGCUUUUGUGAAUUGAGGAGUAAACAAAGUCAGGCCUGUGUAUCUACGAAUCACCCUCUGUUACAGAUAAACAUUGACUGUGUGACCAGAGAAGAAAUCAGUAAAAAUAUCUCUCAGCCGGGGCCAAAUUGCUUCGACAGGGCGCAGAAACUGAUAUAUGGCCUGAUGGAAAACGACUGUUACCCACGAUUUCUGAAAUCAGAAAUCUACCAAGAUCUCCUGGAGCAGGCUGAACAGCAGUGAAAGCAAGAUGAAGAAGAAGAAGAAGAAGAGAAAAAAACACAGCUGACAUCUCUUUGAAUGAUUGAUUUUGCACCUCAGAAGACUCUUUAGAAAGUCAGUUAAACAAAAAGGCCUGCCUGUCAGGCGAAGCAAGAGUGAAAGGAGAUACAGAGCUGUUGAGACGGGGACUGACAGGAUCUAAAAGCCAAACAUGAUCUAAAUAAUGUAUUAAGCUGCUUUUGAAGUCAAUUUUUGUUUUGAAUUGCUUGAUGUUGCACAAAACGCCUGUAAUUCCCCCCAAAAAAGAUAUCACGCUUUCUAAGGUUGACAUUUGUUUGGAUGAACAUCAAGGGUAAAUUGUUUGUCAUUUGUAAACGCGCCCCCUUAAAUGAUUUAGAAAAUGUUUCGGAAAAGUUAAUUUUUCAUUACACUGUCUUUUGGUAUCCAAUCACACAAACUAAUAAGAUGUGAACAGUGCCUAAGCAAUACGAUAAGAUGUAACAUGUGGUGUCAUUUCUUUGGCCUGAUGAAAUUCUCUUUGUGCAUAUUUGAAAAGUGUUUUUAUGGCAGUAGGAAAUGUACAAAAAUGUUCUAUUGUUGCAGCGGUGAAUCACAGGGGUUUAGAUUUCGUUUAGUCUGGCUGUACAUAACCUGCCGCCUCUGGAAAGAGUUUGUUUUGCAGCUUGGAAACAGGCUGCUAAUCAUCUGAUUACUUUACAAUGUGAUACCGCCAGACCAUUGUACGCUCCCUGUCAAAAUAUUGACAGUAAAUAUCGUGUUAAAAAAGCACUGUAUUGUUGUUUUUGUUGGAUAAGUGCUGCAGCUGCUGUGGCUGAUUAGUGGUUAAAAAAUAGUUCUACGCACGAGCCUGUGUGUUUGCAAAUGAGUGUGUGUGGCCUUCACUGUGGCCAUUUUGUCAGUUGAUGUGUCAAAUACCCCUUCUGUGUGAGCAUGCACAGAGCCUGAAGCACAAAGCCUGGGUUAACAACAAAAAGUUGAUGAGCACCAUUGUGAUACCCGUUAUGUCUGACUGCAGUUUUUGGAUUUGACAAGCCAGCUAACAUAAAACUUGCUUUGUAAUAUCAAGUUUGGCGUUUAGGACCAACACAGUUCAGCUGGUAUGGUAAAACAGAGUGGUGAAAUAAAUAUAUUCACUGGCAAAUUUAUAAGAAUAAGAAUUUUGUGUAGCAUGUGGACAGAAGGAAAAUACCUUAAACUUGCGUUCUGUUUAACUGCCAGUAGGGGGCAAACUCUAGAAGUCUGUAAGAAAAUGAUUUGACCUCAAUAAAUACUUUACAGAUGAGUUUAUGGUUCCAUAUAUCAUAUUUAACAAAAAAAC